Long non-coding RNA from Leopardus geoffroyi (Geoffroy's cat), 791 nucleotides. RefSeq lists it as uncharacterized. The record is from RefSeq and is a predicted model, not a curated record. The transcript has 2 exons. NCBI's taxonomy places the organism in Eukaryota, Metazoa, Chordata, Mammalia, Carnivora, Felidae.
CCCCGUUUUACCCCCAAAGGGUUAAGAGCCUUCCAGUGAGCGCAUUGAGGUGCCACGACUCAAUUUUGGGGGUUAAUCCUGGAGGCUGUGGAAAUGUCUGAGUAACCAGUCCUCGGGUCGCCGAACCUUCAAAAAUUAGGCUCUCCUCAUGCCUGGGAUUUUAAAAACCCCUUUUCAAGGGGCCCUCCUGUCUGUGUGGACCUCCCCUCUUUGGACAUUGGCUUCCCUCUGCAGUACGGGGUGGGGGGCGCCCGCCAGAUAAGACAGUUGCCAUGACGGCCCCGUGUUUCGGUUUCCUUGGAAACCGGCCGAGGGUUCCGCGUGCCGGAAAGGAGGCUGUGGGGGUGGGGCGCGCGGCCACGCUCGGCUGCCGCGGAGACGGAGUCCAAAUGGAGCCGUUGGGGAGUGGGAGGGACUUAGGGCUCCCUGCCUGGCGGGGGCGGUGGCAGCUUGCGGUCCCCCUAUCGGCGCGCUUCGACAGCUGGGGGGUCGGGCAGCAUUAAGGUUCCUGUGGGAAGGGUAGCAAAGAGGAUCUGACCGAGCUUUGAGCCGGGGCCGGGCGCCACCCCUCCCCCGGCCAGUACUGCGGGGUCACAGCCCUGAGGUACUUUGGACAGCUCUGUGUCUGAUUCUGAGGAUGAAGCAGGGAGCAAAGAAAUAAGCGUGGGUCUGUCUUCAUAGGUUUGGUCUUGGUGGCAGAUUAUAAAUACUGUGCCAUGAGAAUGUAAUAGGGACAGGGAUCAGAGGAUCUGUUUUGAGGAGUGCCGGAGGUUGUUGCUGAGGAAGGGGCA